CAAGUAUUUUGCCCACUUUUACUUAUUAAUUUUUUUGGUAAGGGGGACUGAACUCAGGGGCACUUAACCACUGAGCCACAUCCCCAGCCUUUUUUUGUAUCUUAUUUAGAGACAGGGUCUCACUGAGUUGCUUAAGGCCUUGCUGAGUUGCUGAGGCAUGUUUUUUCACUCUUACUGGUGUCUUUUGAAACAGAAAUUCUUGAUUACAAUGAAGUGUAAUAGUUUAGUGUUUAUAUAACACUUUUUGCAUUGAAUUUAAGAAAGCUUUGGCUGUGAGGUUAAUAGGAUUUUUACAGGCAAAUGUGAGAGAAGAAUAUGGCAAAAAAAAAAAAAAAAAAGCUUUCUCUAAAGCAAGCCUGGGCACAGGCCUGUUUGAAUUCAUGAUGGGCAUUGGAAGGCCUGGAGUGGAGAGGCCUGUGAAGGGAGUGGGGUGAGGCAAAGCUGGAAUAUUAGAAGGAAGGCAUACUGCAAAGGACUUAAACUGAGCCCUGGAGUAUGGACAUUAUUCUGGAAGAAGCAGAGGGAUUGCCAGAAUAUAUAUAAGCUCAAAAUGAACUCAGUUGUCUUUCUCACCCUUAAACUUGCCCCUCAUCCUUCGUUGCUGUGUUUUAACAUCACUGUCAGACAGCUUUGGCUUCCUGGGCCAGAAUCCUGGGUAUCUUCCUUCCCUCUCUCUGCAUUCAACUGGUCACCAAGUCUCAUAGAUAUUAUAGUCUAAAUGUCUCCAACAACGUCUCCUUUUUCAUCUCCAACUGCUACUACCUUUGUUUAAGAUCUUAUAGUCUCAUAUCUGAAAUAAGUCAUCUGCUUCCAGUUCUUUUCACAUAGUUAGUUCCUGUUCUACCUAGUACAACCAUUCUAAAUUGACUGUUCUUCCUAUUUUCAGCUUUAGAAACUUAAAUGGUUAUUCAGUGCACUUAAGAUAAACUAAAAACCCCUUGACUUGUCCUUUCUGAUUUGCUUAUUCAUUUUUCCUGACUUAACUCAAGCCUCAUCUCCUCCAGAUGCCCAUCCUUAAUCACCCUUCCCAAGGCCACAGUGAGGUGAGUCAUAUUUGUUCCCCCAGGGGGCUGUGAGAUCUCCGAGUGGGAACUUUGCUGUAUUUAGACUUUUACUGUGUAUAGUACUGGCAUGUGAAUUCCAAGACCCUUGAUGACUGGGCUCCAGCUUUGUGCUCCUCAUUUCCCGCACCUGAAACCUGGGUUCCAGCCACUCUUGGUUCUUUUUCUGCAUCAGUGUAUGUUGCACAGUGCAUGUCUCUGUGAUUAUGGUCACUACCCUCUUCUGCUUUUUUUUGCCUGGAAAAUGAUUGUUUUUCCUUUCCAAAUCUAUUUCGUG
This 1338-nucleotide long non-coding RNA is filed under the name Marmota monax (woodchuck). The record is from RNAcentral. Lineage: Eukaryota; Metazoa; Chordata; Mammalia; Rodentia; Sciuridae.